Pan troglodytes (chimpanzee) is the source of this 2764-nucleotide long non-coding RNA. RefSeq lists it as uncharacterized. The record is from RefSeq and is a predicted model, not a curated record. NCBI's taxonomy places the organism in Eukaryota, Metazoa, Chordata, Mammalia, Primates, Hominidae. The transcript is spliced from 3 exons.
GGCGCUCCUCCCCCAGCCUGGCUGCCGCCUUGCAGUUUGAUCUCAGACUGCUGUGCUAGCAAUCAGCGAGACUCCGUGGGUGUAGGACCAUCCAAGCCAGACAGGGCCUCAUUAUGUUGCCCAGGCUGGUUUUGAACUCCUGGGCUCAAGUGAUCCUCCCACGUAGGCCUCCCAAAGUGCUGAGAUUAUAGACAUGAGCCACCACACCUGGCAGGAAAGGCCACUCACUUGAGAAUACAGUAAGAAGGCAGCCAUUUGCAAGCAAGAAAGAUGGCCCUCACCAGAAAAUGAAUCUGCUGGCCCCUUGAUCUUGGACUUCUGACCUCCAGAACUGGGAGAAAAUAAGCCAAGACACAAAUUUCAGUGAUACAGAGAACAUAGAAGUGAAAGCAUGGAGCUAAUAUCAGCAAAGUCCAGUAAUAUUAAUACUAGUAACAUUUAUAAAGUAUUUACUCAUGUGUUAGCUACACGUGUGAUAAGUACAUCAUAAGCUAAGUGUUUCUUUUCAGGAUUAUGUAGAAAAGCUCAGAACUCCUAAUCAGAAAACCAACUCUCUCUAGACCUCUAACCCAUUAUAGAAAGUAGUGAGGAGGGUUCUUGAGAACUCUGGGUGCUUCAGUGACCUAGCAAGAACUUCAUGCUUGCUUGUAUUUCUCCUUCUUAACACCAAAAUUCUGCCUUGUGACUUAGGAACUAACAUCACUGGUCAUCCAUUUUCACCAAAUAAUUCCAAUUUAUUUAAAAGGCCAAGUGAACAUAUUAGAACUAAAAAUAAUAUGGUUGGAAUUGGGAAGUCAGCAAAUGGAAUUAACAGCAAAUUGGAUACAGCAAAGGAGUACAUUUGAAAUCAGAUCAAUAGAAAAUAUUCAAAUAGCAGUAAAAAAGGGGAAAAAUGGAAAAUAUGGAAAAAUAAUACAAGACAUAUAGAACAUAGUAAAAGUUUUAUAUGUAUGCACAUAAAAAGAGAGGUAAAAGACAGUGGAUCAGAAGAAUUAUAUAAAGGAAAAACAUCUGGAAAUAUUCCAAAAGUCAUGAAUAACAUCAAUCUGUAAAGUCAAGAAACUGAAAGUCCUGAGAAUAAAUGCUCAAUAAAAGUCCCAAGAAAACCAUUAUAAUAAGCAUCCUAGUAAAACUGAUGAAAACCGAAAGCAAAAAGAAUAUAUAAAAGCAGGAUGAGCACUAGGCUUAAUACUUGGGUGAUGAAAUAAACUGUACAAUAAACCCCCAUAACACAAGUUUACCUAUGUAACAAAGCUGCACUUGUACCCAUGAGCUUAAAAUAAAAAUUAAAAAUAAAUAAAUAAAUAGAGAUGGUGAUGAAAAAAGAAUAUAUUAAACCACAAAUAAAAUGGAUAUGUUCUCUUCAAAGAAGCGAGGAUAAGAAAUUUCUCAAUAGAAAUAAUUGCAGACAAAAGCUAAUGGAAUGACAUGUUUUAGUGGAGAAAGAAAAUAAUUGCCAUUCUAAAAGUUUAUAAUAAAAACAAUCUUCAAAACUGUAUGUAAAAUCUGCAUGCUUAUAGCAACACAAUUUGCAAUUGCAGAAAUAUGGAACCAACGUAAGUGCCCAACAACCAAUUAGUGAAUAAAGACAAUGUAAUAUAAAUAGACCAUGGACUACUACUGAGACAUAAAAAAGGAAUGAAAUAAUGUUAUUUGUGGCAAUUUGGAUGGUGCUGGAAGCCAUUAUUCUAAGUGAAGUAACUGAGGAAUGAAAAACCAAAUAUUGUAUUUUCUCACUUAUAAGUGGGAGCUAAGAUAUAAGGAUGCAAAGGCAUAAGAAUGAUACAAUUGACGUUGGGGACUCAGGAGGAAGGGUGGGAGGCAGGUGAGGGAUAAAAGACUACAAGUUGGGUACAAUGUACACUGCUCAGGUGAUAGGUGUACCAGAAUCUCAGAAAUCACCACUAAAGAAUUUAUCCAUGUAACCAAAAACCACCUGUACCCCAAAAACUAUUAAAAAAAUUUUAACUAUAUAUGAAAUAAAUACAAUUCCAGACAAAUAAAAAGUGAAAGAAUUUUUUCCAGAAAACUUGCAUUUAAAAACAAACAAACAAAAACCCAGUAAAGUGAAUUCUGCUGGCAGGAAGAAAGUGAUCCAGAAGGAAACAAGAGAAUGAAAGAAGAAAAGAGGAACAUAGGUAAUGAUAAAUGUGUGUGCAAACACAGAUGAAUACUGACUAUAAAAACAUCAAUAAGCAUGUAUUCAUUGCAUAUGUAUGUGCAUGUACAUGUAUUGCUUCCUGGUGACUCUCAAAUAUUGUCUUCAACUUUGACCUCUCAUCUGAAAUGAGCACCCAUAUAUUAAACUUUUGUUUCAACGUCUCCUUUUUUAAGUCUAAUGUACAUCUCAAAUUUAGUAUGUUCAAAAUUCAAAUUGUGGCCUUCCCUCCUAAAUGAUUGCAUUUUCCAUAGUUGUCAAUUUCUUGAUGAAUGGCCAGUUUAGUUUUCCAAUUACUCAGGUAAAAUAUCUUUAAGUCAACUUUUACUCGUAUAGUUUUUCGUAGAUAGAUAUACUUUCAGCAAAUUCUGUCUUCACACUAUUGCCAGAACCAGAUAACACCAUCUCCACUGCAAACAUUCUGAUCCAUCUUUCCCUUGGAUUACCCCAAUUGCCUCCUGAGUGGUAUCCCUUCUCCCUUCCCUCCACACAGGUUAUUCUCAAAACAGCAACUAGAGACAUCCUUUUCAAAACCAAAAUCAGACCUUGCCACUGUUCAAAAUGAUCCAGUAGAUUCUAUUGCAUUCAGAAUAGAAGUAAAGUUCU